CAGAGACGCCAUUAUCUGAAUCUCUCCUGCCGAGGAAAAACAUCCUCCCGUAUUUAUUUAGAAAUACUGCAGAAGAAAGAAAGUCUUGCCGUUUUGGAGCAACGCUAUGAAGCACUUCAACCAAUAAGAGGCAUUUCCUGGCUGACAUCAUCCCACAGGAAGUGACAUCAUGACUGGAGCUCAAACAUCAGAAUGACUGAAGGGUGGUCUCUGUGGUGCACAAACAGACGUCAGUGAAGAGACACAGAGAGCCCGAGGACAAGACAGUUCACCCAGAAAUCUAAGUUCUGUCAUCAUUUCCUCACCUUCAUGCCGAUCCAAACUCUUCUGAAUUCUUUUCCUCCCCAUGAAACACAAAAGGAGAGAUUCUGAAUACAUACUGAAUCACUAAUGAAAUCACUCUGGUGGCCACUGCGAGGGCUCUGGACAUUAUUAACUAGCUUCUGAUUAAUUCAUCAUUAAGCCAAACAAGAAGACUGAGAGAUGGAUGCUGUACUGUAGGACAGCAGAUUUUAUUUGAUCUUACUUGACUUUGUUUAGCACUGAGAGGCUAUAUAUUGCAUAGUGUGUUGUAGUAUGACUUCAUUUUAUU
Long non-coding RNA from Sinocyclocheilus rhinocerous, 592 nucleotides. RefSeq lists it as uncharacterized. The transcript is spliced from 4 exons. NCBI's taxonomy places the organism in Eukaryota, Metazoa, Chordata, Actinopteri, Cypriniformes, Cyprinidae. The record is from RefSeq and is a predicted model, not a curated record.